Molecule: ribosomal RNA, 448 nt
Filed under: uncultured bacterium
Lineage: Bacteria
Description: bacterial SSU rRNA
Rfam family: Bacterial small subunit ribosomal RNA
Source: RNAcentral
GAUGAACGCUGGCGGCGUGCUUAACACAUGCAAGUCGAGCGAAGCAGUUAAGAAGAUUCUUCGGAUGAUUCUUAAGUGACUGAGCGGCGGACGGGUGAGUAACGCGUGGGUGACCUGCCCCAUACCGGGGGAUAACAGCUGGAAACGGCUGCUAAUACCGCAUAAGCGCACAGAGCUGCAUGGCUCGGUGUGAAAAACUCCGGUGGUAUGGGAUGGGCCCGCGUCUGAUUAGGCAGUUGGCGGGGUAACGGCCCACCAAACCGACGAUCAGUAGCCGGCCUGAGAGGGCGACCGGCCACAUUGGGACUGAGACACGGCCCAAACUCCUACGGGAGGCAGCAGUGGGGAAUAUUGCACAAUGGGGGAAACCCUGAUGCAGCGACGCCGCGUGAGCGAAGAAGUAUUUCGGUAUGUAAAGCUCUAUCAGCAGGGAAGAUAAUGACGGUAC